RNAcentral lists this ribosomal RNA (253 nucleotides) under uncultured bacterium. RNAcentral describes it as "partial 16S ribosomal RNA". It matches the Rfam family "Bacterial small subunit ribosomal RNA", at positions 524 to 776 of the family's 1533-position model. The record is from RNAcentral.
UACGUAGGUGGCAAGCGUUGUCCGGAUUUACUGGGUGUAAAGGGCGUGCAGCCGGGAGUGCAAGUCAGAUGUGAAAUCCCGCGGCUCAACCGCGGAACUGCAUUUGAAACUGUGCUUCUUGAGUGCUGGAGAGGCAGACGGAAUUCCUAGUGUAGCGGUGAAAUGCGUAGAUAUUAGGAGGAACACCAGUGGCGAAGGCGGUCUGCUGGACAGUAACUGACGGUGAGGUGCGAAAGCGUGGGGAGCAAACAGG